CCUACGUGAGGCAGCAGUGAGGAAUAUUGGUCAAUGGGCUUACGCCUGAACCAGCCAAGUCGCGUGAGGGAAGACUGCCCUAUGGGUUGUAAACCUCUUUUGUCAGGGAGCAACGCCGGCUACGUGUAGCCGGACUGAGAGUACCUGAAGAAAAAGCAUCGGCUAACUCCGUGCCAGCAGCCGCGGUAAUACGGAGGAUGCGAGCGUUAUACGGAUUUAUUGGGUUUAAAGGGUGCGUAGGCGGAAUGCCAAGUCAGCGGUAAAAUCGCGGGGCUCAACCUCGCUCCGCCGUUGAAACUGGCGUUCUUGAGUGGGCGAGAAGUAUGCGGAAUGCGUGGUGUAGCGGUGAAAUGCAGAGAUAUCACGCAGAACUCCGAUUGCGAAGGCAGCAUACCGGCGCCCAACUGACGCUGAAGCACGAAAGCGUGGGUAUCGAACAGGAUUAGAUACCCCAGUAGUC
RNAcentral lists this ribosomal RNA (460 nucleotides) under uncultured bacterium. Its description in RNAcentral is "partial 16S ribosomal RNA". It matches the Rfam family "Bacterial small subunit ribosomal RNA", at positions 338 to 795 of the family's 1533-position model. The record is from RNAcentral.